CCUACGGGAGGCAGCAGUGGGGAAUAUUGCACAAUGGGCGCAAGCCUGAUGCAGCCAUGCUGCGUGUAUGAAGAAGGCCUUCGGGUUGUAAAGUACUUUCAGCGGGGAGGAAGGCGAUAAGGUUAAUAACCUUGUCGAUUGACGUUACCCGCAGAAGAAGCACCGGCUAACUCCGUGCCAGCAGCCGCGGUAAU
This 194-nucleotide ribosomal RNA is filed under the name uncultured bacterium. Its description in RNAcentral is "partial 16S ribosomal RNA". It matches the Rfam family "Bacterial small subunit ribosomal RNA", at positions 338 to 524 of the family's 1533-position model. The record is from RNAcentral.